RNAcentral lists this ribosomal RNA (584 nucleotides) under uncultured bacterium. RNAcentral's name for it is "partial 16S ribosomal RNA". It matches the Rfam family "Bacterial small subunit ribosomal RNA", at positions 355 to 1375 of the family's 1533-position model. The record is from RNAcentral.
UGGGGAAUUUUGGACAAUGGGCGAAAGCCUGAUCCAGCAAUGCCGCGUGUGUGAAGAAGGCCUUCGGGUUGUAAAGCACUUUUGUCCGGAAAGAAAUCCUUGGCUCUAAUACAGUCGGGGGAUGACGGUACCGGAAGAAUAAGCACCGGCUAACUACGUGCCAGCAGCCGCGGUAAUACGUAGGGUGCAAGCGUUAAUCGGAAUUACUGGGCGUAAAGCGUGCGCAGGCGGUUUGCUAAGACCGAUGUGAAAUCCCCGGGCUCAACCUGGGAACUGCAUUGGUGACUGGCAGGCUAGAGUAUGGCAGAGGGGGGUAGAAUUCCACGUGUAGCAGUGAAAUGCGUAGAGAUGUGGAGGAAUACCGAUGGCGAAGGCAGCCCCCUGGGCCAAUACUGACGCUCAUGCACGAAAGCGUGGGGAGCAAACAGGAUUAGAUACCCUGGUAGUCCACGCCCUAAACGAUGUCAACUAGUUGCUGGGGAUUCAUUUCCUUAGUAACGUAGCUAACGCGUGAAGUUGACCGCCUGGGGAGUACGGUCGCAAGAUUAAAACUCAAGGAAUUGACGGGGUCAUAGCUGUUUCCU